Molecule: ribosomal RNA, 406 nt
Filed under: uncultured bacterium
Lineage: Bacteria
Description: bacterial SSU rRNA
Rfam family: Bacterial small subunit ribosomal RNA
Source: RNAcentral
UCGGGAAUUUUGGGCAAUGGGCGAAAGCCUGACCCAGCAACGCCGCGUGAAGGAUGAAGUAUUUCGGUAUGUAAACUUCGAAAGAAUAGGAAGAAUAAAUGACGGUACUAUUUAUAAGGUCCGGCUAACUACGUGCCAGCAGCCGCGGUAAUACGUAGGGACCAAGCGUUGUUCGGAUUUACUGGGCGUAAAGGGCGCGUAGGCGGCAAUUCAAGUCAUCUGUGAAAUCUCCGGGCUUAACUCGGAACGGUCAGAUGAUACUGCUUUGCUAGAGUGCAGAAGGGGCAAUCGGAAUUCUUGGUGUAGCGGUGAAAUGCGUAGAUAUCAAGAGGAACACCUGAGGUGAAGACGGGUUGCUGGGCUGACACUGACGCUGAGGCGCGAAAGCCAGGGGGAGACGAAACGG